GAAAUACCCCUGAUUUUUUCUUUGCUUAGCCGUUUUGCUGCUUCUUCCCACAUUUAAAAGACGCUUUUGUCCAUUACUUCCACGCGUUUGUCGUCGAUGGAUGCUCUAUUUGGACCGAGUCUUUUCCAUUUUUUUUUUCUUGCUUUCCCUUGCCUUCUCACAGAUCUAGAUCUCUGUUCUGUUCUUCUCGACCUUAUCCUUUAUCGAUCUCAGUUUGUGGUGCCUCGCCGAUUACGGCCUGCUCUGUUCCUCUCAAACCCUUGAAAGCAUCGUCGAUCAGAUCUCUGUUUCAAGUUUAUCCAGUGGAUUUUUGUUUUUCAUUCCACUGCUGUCUCUCGAUUUGUAUUGCCUCUCUGAUUCUGGCUUUGUCCGUGUGUGUCCAACGGUAGAAACCGGCUUAAAUCAAUUUUCUGAGGCUUGGUUCUGCUCCUUGGGUCGCUGACCUGGAGAUUAAAUUAUCAAAAAUUUGGUGUUUUCACGUUACUGAUUCGAAUUGGUCAUUGCUGAGAGGAUCAAAUUGCCAUAAAAUCUGUAACAAAUUUCCAAGUAUACAAGAAGGUUGCUGGGUUGAGUUCGGUUACACAGAUAGCGCCGCAGUGUACCAUACAAAGAAUUUGAAAAAUCUUGAGUUUUUUGGAUUUAAAGCUAUUUGUUCUCAACGUCCAAGGCGCUUUGUCCUCAAGGUAUACCACAGACUACAUCACUCUCCACAAAGGUUAUGUUUCUUUUUCUUAUUAUACUCUCUAACCUACUAAUAUUACGAUACAUUACCCUUUUCUUGCUCAUGCAUAAAAAAAAUAUAUAUAAACAAAAAAACCAGCUUAAAAAACUAAUUUAUAUUCAUCUUCUUCAUUGUAUGGUUAAGCUUACAGAGAACCUCUUAUAGGUAUCGUCUAAAUCCUCAAUCACAAUACAACGAUUUAAUGGGGGACAGGGUGGACUUAGCCUCACAAUGGAUGUGGUUCAAAUUUACCUUUGACGAGAAUUGAACCUAAGACUUCUCACUUACAAAUGAAGAGGAAUACUACUAGACUGUAGUACUAAGUAGCAAGAGAGAUGUUGGUAUGCAUGUUAUAUUACAAAAAUUAGGAAUGUUGGUACGCCAUCCUGAAAGAUUGUUUUUUCAAAAGCUAUGGCUCUAUCUCAAGGAGUGUUUUAUGUUUACAACUAUACAAAGUAGGAAAAAAAGUUUGAUCACUCGUGAAUUGAAUCACCCUAAAUUGCAUUAUGAAUUGAAUUGAAUGAAAAUCUAAAGAUGAAGGGAAAGUUUUCAUAAUUUCACUAUGCAAGAUUUCACUAUGCCAGAUUUCAUUUGAAGGCACCAAAACAUGUGCAAAAUUAAAGUUGGGGUUUUCAUACUCUAUUGGGUUUCGAAAGUCAUGAAAUAACCAAACCAACAUCCAGUACACCUAAGAAAAACAUAAGCAAGAAAAUAUAUCCAACUCCUCAAUCAUUAAUCAAACACAGUAAUACAAUCAUUGAAAAACUCUCAAUCAUUUAUCAAAAUUGAAUUAAUAAAAUUGGAUGUUGGGGUCAAACUUUUGUGUCCGCCCAAGGAUAUUUGAGGGUAAAAAUUUAAUUUUACUCAAUUUAGCUUGUAAGUUAUUUUAUUUUCAGUCUUCAAAUUUAGAGUAAAUAUUUAACAUUCUACAAUGUAGUUUCAAUUUCAAUAAGCAUCCAGGAAAUAAAAUGACAUCAAAAAAGAGCCCAUCAAUUUAAUGAAGAAUUCUCCAAAACUCAGAACUUUAAAUGUAAUUCUACGAAAUCAUGAAAAAUUUACUAAAACCCAAAUAAUACGUAACAAAAUUGAAGCAUAGCUUGACAUGCAAAAGGUUAAAAGGUACCUGAAGUGAUGAGCAAUGGCUUGAGAUACUUUUUUUUACUCACCACUUUGUAAGUUGAUCUUUACAUAAACUACAUCAAUUUAAAAAAAAAAAAAAAAAAAAAAAAAACCAUUACGUUAAAUUCAUCUGAAUAUUUAAUCACAGGUGCACCAGAAAAUUAUAAAAGUUAAAAUUAAAAAACUCCAAGAUGAAUUUAAGCAAAACCCAUAUCAGAUUCUAGACAUCAACACUGUAAAUAAAUAAAUAAAUUGAAAUUUUCCUACCUUUAAGGUUCAAGGUUUUUACUUUAGAAUCCAUGGAAACCCCAGAUUAGAUUCUAAGUGUGUUUAUCAGAAAUAAUAAUCUAAUAAGAAAUUAACACUGAAAAUAAAUAAGAAACCAAAAAAAAUUUGAAUUGUCUUACCUUUACUUUUUGGGUUUACACUGUGGAAUCCAAUCGAGAACUGAAGGAUGAGAAUGGUGAUGGUUUUCGGUGUUUCUAGGUUCGUGGGUGGGGUUGCGGUUUUGAAUCGUGGUGUUAAGAGAGAGCGAGAGAAACAAUGAUGUUCACCGGAAAGGAAAAAGAAGAUAAAAUGGACGGACUGAUUUUUUAUCACAGUGCCCCAAAUAAAUAGACGGUCCAGAUUCAAUUAGAUUUACAUUGGAGUACUAUUGAAAUUACACAAUUAAUACAGGGGCAUUUUCGAUAUUACACUGUUCUUAUGAACAGUAACUACUAUGUGUUUCAGCUUUAAGGAGUGUAUUCAAUUGAGAAUUUGAGAUACUUUAAUGGAUUUGUAAAUCAAUGAAUUUUUAUGGAGUUUAAUUGAUUUGUAGAGAUUUCAUAUAAAAUUUUGAUUCAAUUUCCUCAAAAUCUCAUGGGGACAUGUGUGGAUGUUUAAAAUACACUACGAAAUCUCUUCAAUUCCCUCUAAUUUCUCAACUUUCUAAGAUUCUUUAAAAUCAAUUUGUAAUUGAAUACACCUGAAAUGUUAUAAACUUCUUUAAAAUCCUAAUUAAAUGCACCUUGAAUUUUAAAGAAUUACUUAAAAUCCUGAUUGAAUACCCAAAUCCCUUAAAAUCCUAAUUGAAUACAUCCCCCUUAAUGUAGAUUGAAUUUAUUUUUUAAUGAUGACACAUUAUUUAGAAACGUAAAAAUUUAUAAACUAAACGACAUGGAAAUUGAUAAUUGGUCGUUGAUUAACAUAUUUAUUUUUUAAUGGUGACACAUAAUUUAGUUUACAAAUUUAGUCUCCUUAGUAUUAUAUAUAGGGAAGUGUUAUUGGCACUCCAAAAAUUUCAUUUUAAAUUCCUUACAAGUGUAUUUGUCUUUCAUAAUAUAGAAAGUUUAAAAUGUAGAAUGAAAUUUUUAGAGUGCUAAUAACAAUUAUAUAUAUAUAUAUAUAUAUUUUAAAGUACUGUUGACCUUAAAACUACCUAGUUUACGUGACGCACAGACCCGUAUAAUUAAUAAGCUAACUACUUCAUUCGGUCUAAUGCGGGAUGUGUCAACUCAUCGGCCGAGCUCGACCGUGGAGUAAAAUGUAUGCUGAUGUGACGUUGGGCGCGCUGAUAACUUCUUGAUCUCGCGAUUGCAACCAAGGAAUGAACACGUCUCGACCUUCGGGUUCUAAAGUUUGAAGACAAGACUACUAGUUCUACGAAGUUCAAUAUCGAAUUCAGCUUUCAGUGUGCCAAAUAUAGUAACCUGUUAACAUUUCACUUCACCGAGAUACCUCUACUAACAAGGACUCAUAAAUCUUUGUUGACAGAGAUUUGGAUAAUUAACCAGUCGAUCUCGAAGCAAUGUUGUUUAUCCAAACUGAAGGUGCUCCUCGGUUGACUGAUUCUACGGCUCUAGUGUUGUUUAUCAAAACUGAAGAUGUUGUCAGUUACCUCCACAGUGCUGUUUAUCCAAACUGAAUAUGUGUUGGCAAAAAAAAAUCUCAAGGUGUUUGAAAGAUUUGGACAUGGUAGUUGUGUGUUGAAUUGGAGGGGGUUUUGAAUGAUGCACCCCCACUCUAUUUAUAGUAGCGAUUUCCUCAAUGAUCGAAGUAUAACUUUACUCGAACUAGGACUCCCAAUCCAAAUAAAUCUCGCCCAAGUCCUAACACUCUUAGGACUCUGAAUCCAGCUCCCUAAUUGUUCUGAUUCUUUCCCUUGAUUCUCAACAUCUUUUUUUACUCGAAGCAUCCCUAAUUUUUGAAAACCUUACCGCAUCGAGAUUCGACCUCCUGAUCCUUAUCCAAACAAAAAUCAUAUUAUGAUAGGACUCAGAUGAACUCUACUGGGCUCAACCUAUGGCAGCGAACUUCUUAUAAGACCGAGAACAAUUAUGGGCUCAACCCAAAGUGUUAUUUUGGACCUAAAUAUUGCCCCUUCACUUUUGAGGUGUUUGACCUACAACAUAUGGCCGAACUUCAACCUUGAAAAAGCGAUCCAUUAUCAAACAAGAAAUAAACCCUUGGCCUACACUUUUCGGCCGAUCAAAAGAUCCAUUAUCAAACAAGAAAAAGACCCUUGGCCUACUUUCCAUCCACUCAUAUGCAUUUAUCAAGCACGAUCUCCCACGAUCAAGGUGCGUAGAUGCCGGAACGUCGCUUCAUAAUGAUCAUGCUUUAAAGCUCGUUGCCACACGUAAUCGUGCAAUCUUGAUUUGCGUGCUUUUCGGGCUCUUUGCAUGGAUCUUUUAUUUUAUAAUGAAUGUGAAACAUUUUGACCGGAUUUACCCCUCAAAUUUUGUAUUUGAGAUUGUCGAUCUUCUUCCUAAUUUGCCUAUAAAUACCAAUUAUGGCUUCAUUCCUUAUUUAAGCGUUCAAAAAUCCUAAAACUCUUGCCACUUUGCUUCUGAUUGUUCAAAACCCAAAAAAAAAAAAAAAACCAACCUUUGAAACCCAGAAAGAAACCUCCAAGGCCUUGCUUCAAUAGUUGCCAACACCUUCGUCACCAAGCUUGCCGAAGAAUGUGACAAGUGUCACAAUUUCAUUGAUCGGAGUGCCAUCAAGAUCUCAAAUUUAAAGAGGAUUCAGUUGAUUCUCAUCAGAUCCUGGGCCAUUUGUUUAAAAAUGACGUCCCAAAGGUCAUCAUUGAAAUGCUGAAGAGCCAUUGCCUGAGUCUUUUAUUCUAGGGUUACAGUUGGUCAAAAUGGGAAUCGACCAAACCUCAGGGAGCCUGGCCUUCAACCUUGCAACCAGGGCUGCUUGGGUUAGCCGAACCUUACUUCAACACCAACUGAAAAUUACUUGGCAUCUUCAAUGUCAUUAAACUCUUAACCAUCGAUAUUAACAUAGAUUGAGAGUUCCUGAUGGUUGCUAUAAGUUUCUAGUGCUUGGCCACUAACACUAUGGUGCUCUGGCUCGACCUUAUCAAACCGAUCGUUCUAGAAGUAACAGCUAUCCUCGGCACCUCUCCAUCUGUUCUUCCAGUUGAUACCUCUCUCUCUCGGUAUCAAUUUUACUUAGAUUUGAAAACCGUCUUCGACGAGCAUGUUCUUGAAGUUUUGAAAAAAAAAGACAACCAUGAGGAAGUACCAAAAGACGAAGUAAACAAAUUACACUAUAACUUCUUCAACUAUAACACUCUUAUUAAUCACUUUGUCGGCCGAGUAAAAGAAAAACUCAAGAAUGGAGAACACUAGGCUUUCUUGUUCUACUGGAAUAAUAAGUUCAUAUUUUAUACCAAGUCAAACAAAUGCCUUGCCGAGAAUAUGCCAGUGGCCGAAGCCUUGGCUAGUGGUCACAAUUUGGCCCUUAGUUCCGCUAUCCUCAUCAACCUCACGCGCUGCUUGGCCGAGGCAACUGUCGGGAAAAUUGACCUGCACCAAAACAACCCAUUCUAAGUCUUUCAACUUUGGUUGUAGGUAUAUUUUGCCACUCUGAGGCCAGAGAAUUUUAACUUCGACUCUUCUUAAGCAAUGGGCCUUCAAUUAGCUUCAUGCCUUACCCUGUCUCACUUAGCCGAAGAAAUUUUUAAAUACUUAUUCGGCCUAGACGACCUUACCAACAACGAAUUCUUGAUUUGUUGUCGGAGAGACUAUCCCUCCUCAAUCAAAUUCCUAUAUCCGUAUGGGAGAAAACAAAAGAAGUAGAUCUUUGGCAGAAUUGGGGAUCGUUCGUGCUGGCCCGCAACCUUCAUUUCCUUUAUAACGUUUGACGGGUCGGUUGGGAAGUAUACCACUCCUAUUUUGUGGCUCGACAAAUAGACUAUCUCCAGGUUACCAUGUGCCUCUGCUCACCUCCCAGUCGAUUAUGAGUCGAGAACGACUUUCUAGUUCUUCAAAACGGGAAUGUGAAGAAGUAGAGCAAAAGUUCCAAGAACGAUGCACCAAAUUUCGCCUUCGGGCGAAUACCCCUGAAACCCACGGUACUAGUACUUUCAUUGACUGGUGGGAUAUCUAUACCAAGGAUUUCUUCGACAUGUUGGUCAAAGAAAUUAAAAACAAAAUCUUUGGCGAUCAACCAAUGAAAACUCUUACUCCAAAAUCCAAAGACACAGCUCAAGGUACUUUUAUUCUCAGUAUUUUGCUCAUAUAUAUAUUCGACCAAAAAUCUUCAUCCUGACUCUAAAUUAGUUUUUCCAGGUGGUCACUCAAUAAAGUGAGCCGAAAUGGUCGCGAUGGUCAUGGCAAAAAAAAAGCUCGCCCUUCUUCCAAAGAAGGCUGUUGCUAUCAUGGUCGCCUCUCCCAAGAUAACUUUGACCAUCCCAACCCUAACAAAUGUUGCUCCUUUGCAGGUCACUACUAUGUCACAUGCUGCUACCGUGGCUGAACCAAUCGACAUCCUAGUAGUUGAGGAAUCUAUAGCUCAAAUCUCGACCAUUCCUCAUCUCGAUGUUGUGGUCAUCAGCCCAAAAGUUGAUAUUCCUGAGGUGGUGACAGUUGUCCUGGCCAAAGUGACUCCCUCUCUUAAUCCAAAAUUAUUCCAACAUCGAAUAUUUUAGAGGAAGGGGUACAUAUCUUUCAAUACAUUUUUUUUAAAUAAACAAAAUAUCUUUGAUUGAUAUCUAAUCCUUUUCUGUCAUUAGGAAAACAAUAGCGAGCCGAUCCCGCUAGUGAGGUACCCUUGAUCAGUUAAGUAAGCAAAUAUAGAUCAUUUGCCUCUAGACAAAGGCAAAGUUGUCAUAUCCUCUGUGCCUAAUCCAAGCCAGGAUGAUAUCCAACUACUAGUAGGGGCCACUAGUCAUGCUAAUCCUAAGGUAGCCGCUAAGGGGCCAUCAGUCGAAAUGGUGGCUUUUACAGAAGAAGAAGCGAUCACAGAGACGCCGGUUCAUCACCUAGACCAAGAUCUCGGCAUCCCUGCCCAUGAUGUCACCUCAACCUUUGUAAGUUCUUUAUUUUGAUUCUGAAUUUUGUCUUGGAAUGCUAAACCAUGAUAAAAACGUCCAACUGUCAGGUGCCAAAUCGUUAAUUCUAUCGAAAAUUUUAUGUGCCGAAGGGUGUUGUCUAUAUUUCAUGGCUACUUAGGUGGCCAUCUAACGUAGAUAAACUUCAUUGGCCAUAUGAAUUGAAGAGCUAUCUUAAACAUUGGGCUUGCCAUUAAGCUCUCUGGGUUAAACCAACAGCCCAAAAGAUAUGGCCGAAGUAAUUUCUCGACAGGUUUAAAACAAUUCUCUGUUGUUUUUUCUUUUAGAUUUUGCUCAUCUAAACCCUUUUUUUUAUGUAGCCUUCAUGGGAAGUCGAGCUUGUCGCCUAUCUCACUAGUGCAUUCAGGAUGGUCGAUCAUUUCCCUAACCGAGUCCAACUCUCUAACCAAAUUGCUCGUCUUUGUAAGCUCUUCAAAUGAAAGGUCAAGACUUUGUUGGAGAGUGCCUGAACAAUUUUGCAGCUGACAGUUUGGUGAACAAUGAAAGUGUUGUCCACUUGACGACCGUCUUAGAGUGAACUCAGCUAUACUUUGAUAUUUUCUAGAAGGUUCUACAAGCUGAUGAGGACCUGAAAGCUGCAACGACUUCCUAGAAGGCUACCUUACCAGACCUAAAGGCCAUCAAAGCGAAAAAAGAACAAAUGGUAGAUCUCGAGAGUCACAUUUGCGAGCUUUAAUCCCAAAGAUCUGACAUUGCUUUUGAACUUAAGAAGGAAUUUGAGGUAAACAAACCUCGGUUUGCAGAGUAUGCGGCCGACUCAAAACGGAUACAAGCGUUGAAGGUGACAAGAAGACUUGGCAGGCCGAGAUCAUUAUGAGCGAAGUAAAAUGGUUAGACUGCCUAGAAUACUUUCUUCCCUCGACCCUAUAGCUCUAUCCUAGUGUCGACUUGUGGGCCGGUUGACUAUUUAUGUAUAUUCAUGUUGUCACAGCCCAUUCCGAAAUACUUUUAUCGAAUGUGUGAAAAUACCAAAAUGCCCUUGGGCGUUGCGAUAAGUCAUAUGUGACAUGGUUUUAGAAGUGGACCAAUAUAAUUAUUUUCCUAAGUUUUUGGGGCCAAUAAGAACUAAACCUUGGCUAGUUGUGAUUGGUGUGUAGAUUGGACCACACACAUCCACAUUACUUUAUCUCUCUCUUCCCUCCCGUGUUCUCUUUCUAUCUCUCGGACUCACUCUUUUCCCUCUCCUCUGUAUGGACAACCUUGAACCAAGCCAAAUCUUUGCAGAUCGAGGAAAAAAUGGUACCAUUAUCUUCAUGAGGACCACACAAGUUCAAAGGUACCCAUUUCAGGACAAUCCAAGCUUGCAACGAGCUCUAGGAGGUUCUCACGAAGCUCAGAGUGCUUCGUUGGCUCGGUUUUGACGUCGGGAUCACGAGGUUUGAAGGUGACCGAUUUUUAUGGGAUUUUCGCGACGAAUUUUUGAGGGAUUUGAAGCUCCAAAGAGGUGAGGCCUAUCCCGAGGACGAGCAUAUCCACAGGCGACUCGGGGGUUACGACCCGUCGACAUACCAGUGAGCGGGCUUUUGUUUUCAGUAUAUAUUUAUAUACUUGAUAUAUUUCCCAGAAAUG
Molecule: non-coding RNA, 8753 nt
Organism: Malus domestica (apple)
Lineage: Eukaryota; Viridiplantae; Streptophyta; Magnoliopsida; Rosales; Rosaceae
Source: RefSeq, a predicted model, not a curated record